UUCAAUGGUGAAAAUAAAUGGUUUAUUUUUAAAAUAAACAAAUUUACAAAUCAAAUGGAAAAUGGAAAAUACAAACAUUUAUGGAUAAAAUAAAAAAGAUAGUCUUAAAAUAUGAAAAACCUAUGGAAAGAAAAUAGAUAAUUAACAAGUGGAGUGAAACUUUUGUUCCCCAAUACAAUGGAGUACUUGUUUAUUAGAAUACUAGGGAAUCAUCCAAACUACAUUGCAGUCUCCUUCUCUCUCAAAUAUUCUGUACUGGGCAUCUUCUGGAUCAUAAAACAAACAAACAAAAAAGAACUCUUGAAACAAAAUUGUCUUAGGAUGAGAUAUCAUUUUGAUUUGAGUUGCUUUAGAUUUUUAGCAUUUGAAAAUGUUCAGUAGCAAAUACAGUAAUGUAAAUAGAACAAAAGUUAUCUAGAAGUUUCUAGGGGUACCAAACAUCAUUUAGCAUAAAUAUGAAAUCCAAAAGUGCAAAAAGAUGCUGCAUUGGCA
This 492-nucleotide long non-coding RNA is filed under the name Bos taurus (domestic cattle). RNAcentral describes it as "long non-coding RNA NONBTAT000789". The record is from RNAcentral. Lineage: Eukaryota; Metazoa; Chordata; Mammalia; Artiodactyla; Bovidae.